GCUGGGCAUGGUGGCAUGUGUCUGUAGUCCCAGCUAUUCGGGAGGCUGAGGCUGGAGGAUCUCUUGAGUCCAGGAGUUCUGGGCUGUAGUGCGCUAUGCCGAUUGGGUGUCCAUACUAAGUUCGACAUCAAUAUGGUGACCUCCCAGGAGUGGGGUACCACCAGGUUGCCUAAGGAGGGGUGAACCAGCCCAGAUCAGAAACGGAGCAGAUCAAAACUCCCGUGCUGAUCAGUAGUGGGAUCGUGCCUGUUAGAAUAGCCACUGCACUCCAGCCUGGGCAACAUAGUGAGACCCCGUCUCU
This 301-nucleotide signal recognition particle RNA is filed under the name Aotus nancymaae (Ma's night monkey). Its description in RNAcentral is "Metazoan signal recognition particle RNA (ENSANAG00000003825.1)". It matches the Rfam family "Metazoan signal recognition particle RNA". From Rfam's summary of the family: The signal recognition particle (SRP) is a universally conserved ribonucleoprotein. It is involved in the co-translational targeting of proteins to membranes. The record is from RNAcentral. Lineage: Eukaryota; Metazoa; Chordata; Mammalia; Primates; Aotidae.